CAAAGUGCUUACAGUGCAGGUAGUGAUAUGUAGAAUCUACUGCAGUGAAGGCACUUGUAGC
Molecule: microRNA precursor, 61 nt
Filed under: Sarcophilus harrisii (Tasmanian devil)
Lineage: Eukaryota; Metazoa; Chordata; Mammalia; Dasyuromorphia; Dasyuridae
Also listed under: 2 other names
Description: Sha-Mir-17-P1a_pre stem-loop
Rfam family: mir-17 microRNA precursor family
About the family: This family represents the microRNA (miRNA) precursor mir-17, family, which includes mir-20, mir-91, and mir-103. miRNAs are transcribed as ~70nt precursors (modelled here) and subsequently processed by the Dicer enzyme to give a ~22nt product. In this case the mature sequence comes from the 3' arm of the precursor.
Source: RNAcentral